This 68-nucleotide transfer RNA is filed under the name Marmota monax (woodchuck). RNAcentral describes it as "tRNA.Ala". Lineage: Eukaryota; Metazoa; Chordata; Mammalia; Rodentia; Sciuridae. The record is from RNAcentral.
GGAUGUAGCUCAGGUGGUAGAGUGCUUGCCCUGCGUGCACAAAGCCCUGGGUUCCAUCCCCAGCACCA